RNAcentral lists this ribosomal RNA (507 nucleotides) under Triticum aestivum (bread wheat). Its description in RNAcentral is "partial small subunit ribosomal RNA". The record is from RNAcentral. Lineage: Eukaryota; Viridiplantae; Streptophyta; Magnoliopsida; Poales; Poaceae.
CUUGCUGCUAUAGAACUUAUGGAAGAACGUGGGCCUCUUGAUCCUGACAUUCUAGACAAGCGUGCUACAUUGAGUGGUGAGUUGCAACAGCUCAUGGUUAAUGAGGAGCUAUUGUGGCUCCAGCAAUCCCAUGAGACAUGGUUGUUGAAAGGAGACUAGAACACUGCCUUUUUCCAUAGGAUUGCCAAUGGAAAGAAAAGAAAGAAUACCAUCCACUCCUUUUCAUAUGGUGAUACUGUGAUUGAGGGGAUAUAUAACUUACUCAGACACGCUACAGGAUUCUACAAAGAACUCUUCGGACAAGCUCCGGGGAACAGUUUUCAUCAAGAUCCAAAAACCCGGGGGGAUGAUGAAAAGCUAACAGCUGAUGACAAUGAAAUUUUGACUAGACCUUUUAGUGAGGAAGAGGUUAAGAAUGCCUUAUUCUCCAUGGACAGCAAUAGAGCCCCUGGUCCGGACAAUAUUCCACCAGAAUUCUACCGAUUUUGUUGGGAUAUUAUCAAAUAG